Molecule: ribosomal RNA, 212 nt
Filed under: uncultured bacterium
Lineage: Bacteria
Description: partial 16S ribosomal RNA
Rfam family: Bacterial small subunit ribosomal RNA
Source: RNAcentral
CAGUUCAGAUUGCAGGCUGAAACUCGCCUGCAUGAAGUCGGAAUUGCUAGUAAUCGCAGAUCAGCAUGCCGCGGUGAAUACGUUCCCGGGCCUUGUACACACCGCCCGUCACACCAUGAGAGUUUGUAACACCCAAAGCCGGUGGGGUAACCUUUUGGAGCCAGCCGUCUAAGGUGGGACAGAUGAUUGGGGUGAAGUCGUAACAAGGUAAC